GUCAGGAUGGCCGAGUGGUCUAAGGCGCCAGACUCAAGGAUCAGCUCCUUCCGUAUGAACGGGAAUUCUGGUCUCCGAAUGGAGGCGUGGGUUCAAAUCCCACUUCUGACA
This 111-nucleotide transfer RNA is filed under the name Oncorhynchus kisutch (coho salmon). It matches the Rfam family "tRNA". From Rfam's summary of the family: Transfer RNA (tRNA) molecules are approximately 80 nucleotides in length. Their secondary structure includes four short double-helical elements and three loops (D, anti-codon, and T loops). RNAcentral also lists the same sequence under 1 other name. Lineage: Eukaryota; Metazoa; Chordata; Actinopteri; Salmoniformes; Salmonidae. The record is from Rfam by way of RNAcentral.